UCUUGAGAUAUUAAGAAAAUAGUGCUUGGGUGCUUGUAAAUUAGGGUUUAUAGUAUCUGCUAGGAUUUCUUAGAUGUCAAAAGAUUGGGAGUGAAUUUGCAAUUGGUUUUAUUUGUAAUAAAAUUUAAGAGUAAAUUCUACCAUUCAAAUAAAUUUGAAACAAACUGAACAAUUAGAUUAAGAGAUAUGAAUUUCUAAAGUUUGAGAUAAGAAAACCCUUUGCAGAAAAAAUAUGUUUUGAAGGGAUUUUAUUAUAUUUUGAGUUUCAUGCAAAAUAAAGGAGUUUUAGAAGCUAAGUCAAGAUUAAUAUAAAGGCAUAAGCUACACUCUCUAUAGCUAGAUAUCCAGUGUAUUUUUAAAUAGCAAAUCAUGCUAUACAACACUGUGAUAUUAUCUUCCUUUCUAGAGAUGAGUUCUACAAAGAGCAAUCAUCAUCUUUCAUGGAUCUUUACAAUUCUUUAACUUACUUUUGAUGGAUGUCAUUGAUAAAAGGCCUCAACCUUCUUUAUUGCAUCUGUAAGAUUUUUUGUUGGCUCUC
RNAcentral lists this long non-coding RNA (538 nucleotides) under Physcomitrium patens. RNAcentral describes it as "long non-coding RNA (PPAT_LNC014159)". Lineage: Eukaryota; Viridiplantae; Streptophyta; Bryopsida; Funariales; Funariaceae. The record is from RNAcentral.